AGUGAACGCUGGCGGUAGGCCUAACACAUGCAAGUCGAACGGCAGCACAGUAAGAGCUUGCUCUUACGGGUGGCGAGUGGCGGACGGGUGAGGAAUACAUCGGAAUCUACUUUUUCGUGGGGGAUAACGUAGGGAAACUUACGCUAAUACCGCAUACGACCUACGGGUGAAAGCAGGGGAUCUUCGGACCUUGCGCGAUUGAAUGAGCCGAUGUCGGCGUAGCUAGUUGGCGGGGUAAAGGCGCACCAAGGCGACGAUCCGUAGCUGGUCUGAGAGGAUGAUCACCCACACGGGAACUGAGACACGGUCCAGACUCCUACGGGAGGCAGCAGUGGGGAAUCUUGGACGAUGGGCGCAAGCCUGAUCCAGCCAUACCGCGUGAGUGAAGAAGGCCUUCGGGUUGUAAAGCCCUCUUGUUGGGAAAGAAAAGCAGCACGUUAAUACCCCGCUGUUCUGACGGUACCCAAAGAAUAAGCACCGGCUAACUUCGUG
RNAcentral lists this ribosomal RNA (492 nucleotides) under uncultured bacterium. Its description in RNAcentral is "partial 16S ribosomal RNA". It matches the Rfam family "Bacterial small subunit ribosomal RNA", at positions 29 to 507 of the family's 1533-position model. The record is from RNAcentral.